This 279-nucleotide ribosomal RNA is filed under the name Chloroflexota bacterium. RNAcentral describes it as "Chloroflexi bacterium (freshwater metagenome) partial 16S ribosomal RNA". It matches the Rfam family "Bacterial small subunit ribosomal RNA", at positions 1 to 281 of the family's 1533-position model. The record is from RNAcentral. Lineage: Bacteria; Bacillati; Chloroflexota.
UUGUUUCGGAGAGUUUGAUCCUGGCUCAGGACUAACGCUGGCGGUAUGCCUUAGACAUGCAAGUCGAACGAGUUUCCGGGCUUGCUCGGAAACUAGUGGCGAACGGCUGAGUAACGCGUAGGUGACCUACCCCGUAGUGUGGAAUAACUGCCCGAAAGGGUAGCUAAUACCGCAUGUUGAGCCGACAUCAAUGUCGUCUCCAAAGCAGAAAUGCGCUAUGGGCGGGGCCUGCGUUCGAUUAGCUAGUUGGUGGGGUAAUGGCUCACCAAGGCGACGAUC